Molecule: long non-coding RNA, 565 nt
Organism: Tupaia belangeri chinensis (Chinese tree shrew)
Lineage: Eukaryota; Metazoa; Chordata; Mammalia; Scandentia; Tupaiidae
Exons: 3
Source: RefSeq, a predicted model, not a curated record
UUUCCCAGUAAGUGUGCAUUGAUUCCCACAGGGACCAAGAGGCCCAGAGACCUGAUUUCGAUUGCAGCACUAGAACGCGGAGACAAUACCCACAAUCUCCCUUUUCUGCUGCAGCUGCCAAAGGCCAAGAGUGCAGCGAUCUGAGGGCCUCUUGAGACCUCCUGUGUUCACUGCGUUGGGCUCAGGUUGAUCGUGGAAGAAAAUGGCACAACUUUUGCCUCAUAAGGACACUACAUUCCUAGUGAGGCAGGCCCACACUGGGCGAGAUGGAGAGCAGUUCGACAUCUCUGGCAGCUCAUGGUGAGGAUCUGAGGAGACUUCUUUCUCACCCAAGACUGUCAAGACUUUAGGAAUCACAUACCAAAGCAAUGAUUUUUAAUUACUAGAGUAAUAGUUGAAUAAGAUGAACUGCCAGAGAGGCUUGCUCAAGGCUAAUGAAUGAAGAAAUCCUUAGAUGGGAGAAAUCCUGGUAAACUUGAAAUAAAUAGCAGAUGCCCAGCAAGUUCUGGUGUCCAGCAAGCCUACUUGGUGAGGACUGUAUUUUCAACAGCCAGCUUGCCAUUUU